AGGGAUGUGGCUUAGUGAUAGAGCACAUGCCUGGCACGUGUGAGGCCCUGGGUUUGAUCCCCAGCACUGCAA
This 72-nucleotide transfer RNA is filed under the name Urocitellus parryii (Arctic ground squirrel). RNAcentral describes it as "Spermophilus parryii (Arctic ground squirrel) tRNA". It matches the Rfam family "tRNA". Rfam says of the family: Transfer RNA (tRNA) molecules are approximately 80 nucleotides in length. Lineage: Eukaryota; Metazoa; Chordata; Mammalia; Rodentia; Sciuridae. RNAcentral also lists the same sequence under 2 other names. The record is from Rfam by way of RNAcentral.